Molecule: ribosomal RNA, 253 nt
Filed under: uncultured bacterium
Lineage: Bacteria
Description: partial 16S ribosomal RNA
Rfam family: Bacterial small subunit ribosomal RNA
Source: RNAcentral
UACGGGGGGGGCAAGCGUUGUUCGGAAUUACUGGGCGUAAAGGGCCAGUAGGCGGCCAACUAAGUCGGAUGUGAAAUCCCCAGGCUUAACCUGGGAACUGCAUCCGAUACUGGAUGGCUUGAAUUCGGGAGAGGGAUGCAGAAUUCCAGGUGUAGCGGUGAAAUGCGUAGAUAUCUGGAGGAAUACCGGUGACGAAGGCGGCAUCCUGGACCGACAUUGACGCUGAACGGCGAAAGCUAGGGGAGCAAACGGG